UUAGUCGAUUUACCAUGGAUCGUAAAAACAGACAUAGACUUGGACAGCUCGUGGAAUUAUAUAAAAAGAAACUUUUACCCGUGUGUAUGAGAAGUGGAUGGAUAUGGUUACAUUACAUCAGCAUGGAGCCAGUCAUCCCAAAUGUUCAUCUAAAAAAAUCAACGACCAGAAAUGUCAAGAGCCGGCUUGUUUUGUUAUAAGAGGAUGUAUAUAUGAGGAUCUUUCUAGUUCAAUGUCAAACAAAUAUGUAUGUUCAAAAGCAAAGAAAUAUUAUUUACUAAUAAAAAACACCCAACUGUUAUUUAUAGGCAUAAGGAGGCUGAGGAUCUUAAGCCAGUUCUCUUUUGAAAAACUAAAACAAAGAAAGAAAAAAUGGAAGUACAAAUCAUUUCCAAAGAAAAGAUCAAACCUUCUUGUCCAACACCAGACCACCUAAAGACUCACAAGCUUUCCAUUAUCGAUCAAUUAGCUAUUCAAUGCUAUGUUCCUGUUAUUAUUUUUUAUUCACCAUCCCAUAAUCAAGAUUCUAGCCAAAUAUCAACUCAGCUCAAGAAAUCAUUAUCAGAAACAUUAACCCAUUUCUACCCUCUCGCAGGAAAAGCUAUAAAUGGUUCUUUUAUUGAUUGCAAUGAUGAUGGAGCAAGUUUUGUUGAAGCAAACAUUGUUGGUGACAUGUCUAUGGUACUUAACCAAUCUAAAAUUGAAUUGUUGCGGUUGCUUUUACCUAGUAAGCUAAAUGAGAAUUUUGCUGAAAAAGAAAUAGUUUCUGUUCAAGUUAAUUAUUUUACUUCUGGUGGGAUAGUUAUUAGUGUUUGCAUUAAGCAUUUGAUUGCUGAUGCAUCAACAGUAGCUUCUUUUGUUGAAGUUUGGGGUAAUAUUGCUCGUUGUGCGACUAACAGUGUUUCUAAUGGCAUAAUCUUUGACCGUACUGGUCUUUUUCCUCCUGUUAAUAAUAAAAUAGAAGGUUUAUCAUGGGUUGAAGGUUCGUUAUUACCUGAAACUGUGACUAAGAGGUUUUUGUUCGACGGUUUGAAGAUUGCUGCACUAAGAGAAAU
RNAcentral lists this long non-coding RNA (1055 nucleotides) under Jatropha curcas. Its description in RNAcentral is "long non-coding RNA (JCUR_LNC000968)". The record is from RNAcentral. Lineage: Eukaryota; Viridiplantae; Streptophyta; Magnoliopsida; Malpighiales; Euphorbiaceae.